Molecule: non-coding RNA, 114 nt
Organism: Acanthosepion pharaonis
Lineage: Eukaryota; Metazoa; Mollusca; Cephalopoda; Sepiida; Sepiidae
Source: the annotation of a GenBank genome assembly
UUACGACCAUAUUAUGUUGAAACCCCCUAUUCCCAUAUGAACACUGAAGUUAAGCAAUGUUGUACCUGGUCAGUACCUAGAUGGAUGACCACUUGGGAAUAUCAGGUACUGUAA